UGGGUGGCCCAGACAGACCCAGGCACCCUGGCGGCCGGCCAGGUGCAGGCGGAGGCCCGGUGACCACAGGGCGGCCUUGUGAAUGCCAUCCCUGGGCCCAGUGGCUGGGCAGCACUGACGUGGGACUGGGGGGUGGCCGGGAGUAGGGACAGGCCAGCCCCGUGUGACCUGGAGGGGGAGAGGGACCCAUGCCUCUUGCCCUGGACUGACCUCCUAGAGCUGCCAUGCUGGCACACAGAGAUGGCAGGACACGCUGGGGACAGCUUUGGAUCCGGUGACCUGGCUACCUGGAGGGACCAAGCUCCGACUCGAGGCUGCAGGGUGGAGGCACGCCUCCCCAGGGCUUGGAUCACAAGUGUGAGCCACCACGUCCGGCUUGAGCCCAGACCUGCAGGAGGGUGAAUGACUGUCCUGGACACACAUGGGAAAGAGAGUCACCGAGCCAAAGGCCCCACAGCCGCGCACUGAGGCUGAGGCCCUGCUAAUCAGUCCACCUUAGCCAAGAGGCCACGACACGGUGCGGCAGCUUUCACCGAGCCGGCAACUGCUUGGCUUGGCAGAAGUCGACUUGAACCCCCCGGGAGCUGCAGGGACCCACAGAGCUGCCGCCACCUCGGCUCUGUGGGUCAGCUGACCACGCUCCAGCCCCUACUCCAGCUUGAACCCAACUGGCUCAGGGCCACCCUCUGCCCUCAAUUAUGCAAGAAUUCUGAUGGCCUGCUUGCUUGGUCUUUUUCUGCAAUUUCAGCUGGGAAUUCCAGCCUCCCGCCAGGGAUUUAUCUUU
This is a long non-coding RNA of Cavia porcellus (domestic guinea pig), 784 nucleotides long. RefSeq lists it as uncharacterized. The record is from RefSeq and is a predicted model, not a curated record. Lineage: Eukaryota; Metazoa; Chordata; Mammalia; Rodentia; Caviidae. The transcript has 4 exons.